This 506-nucleotide ribosomal RNA is filed under the name uncultured bacterium. RNAcentral's name for it is "partial 16S ribosomal RNA". It matches the Rfam family "Bacterial small subunit ribosomal RNA", at positions 29 to 523 of the family's 1533-position model. The record is from RNAcentral.
AGUGAGCGCUGGCGGUAGGCCUAACACAUGCAAGUCGAACGGCAGCACAGGAGAGCUUGCUCUCUGGGUGGCGAGUGGCGGACGGGUGAGGAAUACAUCGGAAUCUACUCUGUCGUGGGGGAUAACGUAGGGAAACUUACGCUAAUACCGCAUACGACCUACGGGUGAAAGCAGGGGAUCUUCGGACCUUGCGCGAUUGAAUGAGCCGAUGUCGGAUUAGCUUGUUAGCGGGGUAAAGGCCCACCGAGGCGACGAGCCGUAGCUGGGCUGAGAGGAUGAUCAGCCACACUGGAACUGAGACACGGUCCAGACUCCUACGGGAGGCAGCAGUGGGGAAUAUUGGACAAUGGGCGCAAGCCUGAUCCAGCCAUACCGCGUGGGUGAAGAAGGCCUUCGGGUUGUAAAGCCCUUUUGUUGGGAAAGAAAUCCAGCUGGCUAAUACCCGGUUGGGAUGACGGUACCCAAAGAAUAAGCACCGGCUAACUUCGUGCCAGCCGCCGCAGUAA